UACGUAGGGGGCAAGCGUUGUCCGGAAUCAUUGGGCGUAAAAGCGCGUGUAGGCGGCUCGGUAAGUCUGCUGUGAAAGUCCAGGGCUCAACCCUGGAAUGCCGGUGGAAACUGUCCGGGCUAGAGUCCGGAAGAGGCGAGUGGAAUUCCUGGUGUAGCGGUGAAAUGCGCAGAUAUCAGGAGGAACACCAAUGGCGAAGGCAGCU
Molecule: ribosomal RNA, 205 nt
Filed under: uncultured bacterium
Lineage: Bacteria
Description: partial 16S ribosomal RNA
Rfam family: Bacterial small subunit ribosomal RNA
Source: RNAcentral